GCGGGCGUAGCUCAAUGGUAGAGCUUCAGUCUUCCAAACUGACGGUGCGGGUUCGAUUCCCGUCGCCCGCUCCA
This 74-nucleotide transfer RNA is filed under the name Micromonospora chalcea. RNAcentral's name for it is "tRNA-Gly". It matches the Rfam family "tRNA". Rfam says of the family: Transfer RNA (tRNA) molecules are approximately 80 nucleotides in length. Lineage: Bacteria; Bacillati; Actinomycetota; Actinomycetes; Micromonosporales; Micromonosporaceae. RNAcentral also lists the same sequence under 45 other names. The record is from RNAcentral.